AUGAUGCAACGUUGAAAGUUGGCUUUCGAGCUAACACUGUAGGAUGGGCCCGCGGCGCAUUAGCUAGUUGGUAAGGUAACGGCUUACCAAGGCCACGAUGCGUAGCCGACCUGAGAGGGUGAUCGGCCACACUGGGACUGAGACACGGCCCAGACUCCUACGGGAGGCAGCAGUAGGGAAUCUUCCGCAAUGGACGAAAGUCUGACGGAGCAACGCCGCGUGAGUGACGAAGGCCUUCGGGUCGUAAAGCUCUGUUGUUAGGGAAGAACAAGUACCGUUCGAAUAGGGCGGUACCUUGACGGUACCUAACCAGAAAGCCACGGCUAACUACGUGCCAGCAGCCGCGGUAAUACGUAGGUGGCAAGCGUUGUCCGGAAUUAUUGGGCGUAAAGCGCGCGCAGGCGGUCUCUUAAGUCUGAUGUGAAAGCCCACGGCUCAACCGUGGAGGGCCAUUGGAAACUGGGGGACUUGAGUGCAGAAAAGGAGAGUGGAAUUCCACGUGUAGCGGUGAAAUGCGUAGAUAUGUGGAGGAACACCAGUGGCGAAGGCGGCUCUCUGGUCUGUAACUGACGCUGAGGCGCGAAAGCGUGGGGAGCGAACAGGAUUAGAUACCCUGGUAGUCCACGCCGUAAACGAUGAGUGCUAGGUGUUGGGGGGUUCCACCCUCAGUGCUGAAGUUAACACAUUAAGCACUCCGCCUGGGGGAGUACGACCGCAAGGUUGAAACUCAAAGGAAUUGACGGGGGCCCGCACAAGCAGUGGAGCAUGUGGUUUAAUUCGAAGCAACGCGAAGAACCUUACCAA
Molecule: ribosomal RNA, 804 nt
Filed under: Bacillus sp. (in: firmicutes)
Lineage: Bacteria; Bacillati; Bacillota; Bacilli; Caryophanales; Bacillaceae
Description: bacterial SSU rRNA
Rfam family: Bacterial small subunit ribosomal RNA
Source: RNAcentral